CAGUGGUUCUCAACCUUAUUUGCACAUUGGAAUCUCCUGGGUAGCUUUAGAAACUACUGAAGCCUUUGUCCUACCCCGAGAGAUCUUGAUUUAUUUGGUCUGGGGAGCAAACUGGGCAUUGGGAUAUUUUUAAAGUCCCCCAGCUGAUUCUAAUUUACAGCCAAGAUUGCUAACCACAGUGCUAGGAAAUGGCCUCAGGCAGAUCUUUCGCGUAAGUGUAGAAAAAGUUCUCCGGGUUCCUCUUAGGGGAGAGACCAUUUUUAUCUGCUGCUCACUGAGAAGCAGAGAGAAAGGAGGCUGCCUAGUUGCCAGGAGGAACAUUGACCUGCCACAGCCUCCUACAUCUGUCCUAGAAGUGAAGUCCAUUUUCUGCUAAAGACAAAAAGAGAAGUGAAUUCCGUAAUCUACAAACCAAUUUCCUUCACUCCCUACUGGUGUUGGUGGCUUUCCUCGCGGGAUAACCCUGACCAUCCUGAGCCUCUGGUCACCCUGCUUCCUUCAAGUCUGAGUUGCACUAGUCCACUGGCCAUUAAGCUUAAGCAAGUGGAUCACGUCCUCUCACUCUAUCCUUCCUAACAACUUCAUAAUGAAGAUUAAUGGGACGUGGCUGGAUAUUCCAUGUCUUGCUGCAAGGGUGUUUACUGAAUUCUAUACUGGAUACUGACUCUGGGAAGCUCUCAAAGAAGCAAUGAAUUACAGAUAGAUUCUGGUUCUGCUGCUUCCUUCUGCCAAGUCCUAGGAAAUAGACAUUAUUCCCUCGUUAUUCAAAUGAGGUAAUUGGAGCACAGAGGUUUGUGAAUCACCCAAGUCACAUAGGAUUCUAUCCAGGGCUCUACAUUACACGUCGUUAUGUUUUUUUAGGCUCCUCUUGGAGAUGGCAGUUUCUCAGACAUUGUUGUUUUUGAUAAGCUUGAUAGUUUUGAAGAGUCUCGGUCAGUUGGUUCCAGAUCUCGCCAUUGGAGCUCUUUCCAUUGGCUCCUGUGUCCUUCAGCAUAUCUCCAUCUGUUUUCCUGGCUGAAUUCAAGCUUCCUUGGUGAGGUGGAGAAUAAGAACAGACACCUUCUAAGGACUGAGUAUCUGUGCCCCUCCCAAAUUCAUGUGUUGAAGCCUCAAUACCAAUGUGAUGGAUUUCAGAGAUGGGGACUUUCGGAAGCAAUUAGGUCGUGAGGGUGGAGCCUUCAUAAUGGCAUUACAGCCCUUUUAUAAGAGACACAAAAGAGCUUGCUGGCUCGCUCUCUCUCUCUCUCUCUGCCGUGUGAGGAUCCAAGGAGAUGGCCAUCUGCAAACCAGGAAGAGGGCUCUCUCGGGAACCUGACCAUGCCGCACCAUCAGCUUGGACUUCCAGCCUCCAGAAUUGUGAGAGAGAAAUUUCUGUGGUUUAAGCCACCCUAUCUAUGGUAUUUGUUAUGGCAGCCUGAGCAGACUAAGGCAAGCCGUAAAGAGGAAAAUAUAAUAAAUUCUCCUGAAUUCUGUAUAACAUUAGCCAUUAAUCUACAUCAAUAUAUGGUGACGAUAUAUAAGUGGAAUGUACAAUGCAUAAAAUAUGCAUAUAUUAAGGUAAAGUAGGUAAUAAUGUUUAUCUUAAAUUACACAGACCCAUUUAGACUCUUUUGGUUUUAUAAUUUGGCUUGUUUUGUUACUAUCUCGAUGAAUUGCUUAUUCAUUUCAAAUUUUAUAACAUGUAUUUCUCCUUUGAGGAAAUGUAGACGAUUGAUAUUGGGAUAGAGCUUAAAUUGUGAGAAAUUACUCAACUGUGGUAAAGGGAAUACAUCAGAAGUAACACUUGGCUCACUAAAUUUUAUUUGAAUUAGGUGUCAAGUAAGCUAAGACGUGCAGGAGACAGCUGAUGGGGUAUGAAUUAAAUUUUAGGUUCUGCUCAUCAUUUGUUAGAAAUGGAAAUCAGUUUUCAAUAGUAUUCUCAUGUAUAAUUAAAACACAGAGCUAUGUAAUGUUUGGUA
This 1958-nucleotide long non-coding RNA is filed under the name Equus asinus (donkey). RNAcentral's name for it is "lncRNA (ENSEASG00005030890.1)". The record is from RNAcentral. Lineage: Eukaryota; Metazoa; Chordata; Mammalia; Perissodactyla; Equidae.